UACGGAGGGUGCAAGCGUUGCUCGGAAUUAUUGGGCGUAAAGGGCAGGUAGGUGGUCUCAUUUGUCUGGGGUGAAAUCCUUGGGCUUAACCCAAGAAGUGCCCCGGAGACGGUGAGACUAGAGUUUUGGAGAGGGUCGUGGAAUUCCCGGUGUAGCGGUGAAAUGCGUAGAGAUCGGGAGGAACACCAGAGGCGAAAGCGGCGACCUGGACAAUGACUGACACUCAACUGCGAAAGCGUGGGGAGCAAACAGG
Molecule: ribosomal RNA, 253 nt
Filed under: uncultured bacterium
Lineage: Bacteria
Description: partial 16S ribosomal RNA
Rfam family: Bacterial small subunit ribosomal RNA
Source: RNAcentral